Molecule: non-coding RNA, 101 nt
Organism: Mycena rebaudengoi
Lineage: Eukaryota; Fungi; Basidiomycota; Agaricomycetes; Agaricales; Mycenaceae
Source: the annotation of a GenBank genome assembly
GCCUUGGUGGAUCAAUUGGUAGAUCAUGCCUACUCAAUUAGGUGGUCAUGGCGCAAAUUAUACGUAGUAGGAAGACGGAGGUUCGAAUCCUCCCCAAGGCA